Molecule: long non-coding RNA, 259 nt
Filed under: Malus domestica (apple)
Lineage: Eukaryota; Viridiplantae; Streptophyta; Magnoliopsida; Rosales; Rosaceae
Description: long non-coding RNA (MDOM_LNC019669)
Source: RNAcentral
ACAAGGAUGAGCUUCAAGGGUAAAGAAUCACUUAAUCUUUACUUCUCUUUAAUAUUGUUAAAGAGUUUAUUUUGGUUCACCAUAUACUAGGCUUUGAAAGUCAUGGGUUUUAUGAAUUGUUUUUGGAUGCAUGCCUACUUUAAAGUGUUAAUAGCUUGCAUGUGUAUUCAAAUGUUCAUACUUGUUCUUAGCUAGGACAAAAUUUUUCCUUCAGAACCUGCCCCAAUCUCUUUUCCACUUGUCAAGAGUAUGGCCUUUG